AGCCAACCCUGUUGUGGGGAAUCAGAGAAGGUAUCUCAAAUGGGAAGUCCAAUCUGGGUGCUUAGAGAUGUGUAAGAGUGAGCCAGGCGAAAGGAGGUGAACGUUCUCAGCUUCUCCUGAUUUGUUAACUUGGAAGUCAUAUUCUUUGUCUACCCCAAAGGACUACAGGUUUCCCCAAAAUUUCAAAGCAUCUUCAUGGAACAACAGAGAAUGCAAACGUUUCCAGACUAUAAUGCUGGGAUAGCUAAAGUGGAAAAUUUGAAUUUGGCAGGACCUCGUAGGGCCUUGAAAAAGGGAGCCAACUGGACUUCCUUUAUAAAGAUUAAGCCAAAAUGUGAUCCUUGGCAAAAGAAGCUUUUGACCAAACUAAAAGAACGGAGAAGAAUAGAUGUAUUAAUGCAACUCCAAGCAAAGUUUUUGAAGAUUUCCAAUCCUGAGCGAGUAAUGCAAGUGCUCCAGGAUCAUGCUGCAAAGACAGUCUUGCUGGCUUCAUCUCAUCCAACAUGUGUGGCUUCCCAGGGCAACUAUGACCAAAUCUGGGAGACUAUUUAUAGCAACAUCAACCUCUACCAGGUACAACAGGAAGAAAUAACCAAUAUGCCUUUCUGUUCAACUCACCACCUGUUUAUAGACCUUAGAAAUUUACUUUGGUAGGUUUUUAGAGAUCCUCCCCCAAAAGAGGAAUAUA
Bos taurus (domestic cattle) is the source of this 688-nucleotide long non-coding RNA. NCBI's taxonomy places the organism in Eukaryota, Metazoa, Chordata, Mammalia, Artiodactyla, Bovidae. The record is from Ensembl.